GGUCCAUGAUGCAUGGUGAAAGGGCUGACUGCCCAGUCCCCUCCCGGCACCCCUACAUUCCCAGCCAUCUCUGUCUGACAGGCAGAGACGCCCCAUUCUGUGUCUUGCUAGCUCAGAGGGCACCACAGUUGGCAUCUGACAGCUUCAUCACAAAGGGAUGUGCGUGUCGGGAGUGCCCAUCCGUACCGGUGGUGUGACCUGACCUUUGACGCUGAGACC
Non-coding RNA from Heterocephalus glaber (naked mole-rat), 219 nucleotides. Ensembl annotates it as small Cajal body-specific RNA 6. The record is from Ensembl. NCBI's taxonomy places the organism in Eukaryota, Metazoa, Chordata, Mammalia, Rodentia, Bathyergidae.